GUGAAUCAUCAAAUCUUUGAACGCAAAUUGCACUCUCUGGUAUUCCGGAGAGUAUGCCUGUUUGAGGGUCAGUUAAAUAAAAAUCGGUGUGGUUGCUGCCUCUCGUGGUGACGCACCGGAUUUGGGUCGUCUUGCCGUCGGUUAAGUGACCUAAUUUUGUGCAUGUUUUUUCUCGAACGUAUAAAUAUUAUUACACGUAUUU
This 202-nucleotide unclassified non-coding RNA is filed under the name Glomus sp. RNAcentral's name for it is "partial contains 5.8S ribosomal RNA and internal transcribed spacer 2". The stretch from base 1 to 71 matches the Rfam family "5.8S ribosomal RNA", at positions 84 to 154 of the family's 154-position model. Lineage: Eukaryota; Fungi; Glomeromycota; Glomeromycetes; Glomerales; Glomeraceae. The record is from RNAcentral.